This 253-nucleotide ribosomal RNA is filed under the name uncultured bacterium. Its description in RNAcentral is "partial 16S ribosomal RNA". It matches the Rfam family "Bacterial small subunit ribosomal RNA", at positions 524 to 776 of the family's 1533-position model. The record is from RNAcentral.
UACAGAGGUCUCAAGCGUUGUUCGGAUUCAUUGGGCGUAAAGGGUGCGUAGGUGGCGCGCUAAGUCAGGUGUGAAAUUUCGGAGCUUAACUCCGAAACUGCAUUUGAUACUGCCGUGCUUGAGGACUGGAGGGGAGACUGGAAUUUACGGUGUAGCGGUGAAAUGCGUAGAUAUCGUAAGGAAGACCAGUGGCGAAGGCGGGUCUCUGGACAGUUCCUGACGCUGAGGCACGAAGGUCAGGGGAGCAAACGGG